CCUACGGGAGGCUGCAGUAGGGAAUAUUGCUCAAUGGGGGAAACCCUGAAGCAGCAACGCCGCGUGGAGGAUGAAGGUUUUCGGAUUGUAAACUCCUUUUGUUAGAGAAGAUAAUGACGGUAUCUAACGAAUAAGCACCGACUAACUCCGUGCCAGCAGCCGCGGUAAUACGGAGGGUGCAAGCGUUACUCGGAAUCACUGGGCGUAAAGAGCGCGUAGGCGGGAUAGCAAGUCAGAUGUGAAAUCCUAUGGCUUAACCAUAGAACUGCAUUUGAAACUGUUAUUCUAGAGUAUGGGAGAGGUAGGUGGAAUUCUUGGUGUAGGGGUAAAAUCCGUAGAGAUCAAGAGGAAUACUCAUUGCGAAGGCGACCUACUAGAACAUAACUGACGCUGAUGCGCGAAAGCGUGGGGAGCAAACAGGAUUAGAUACCCGAGUAGUC
RNAcentral lists this ribosomal RNA (440 nucleotides) under uncultured bacterium. RNAcentral's name for it is "partial 16S ribosomal RNA". It matches the Rfam family "Bacterial small subunit ribosomal RNA", at positions 338 to 795 of the family's 1533-position model. The record is from RNAcentral.